AGUGGUAGCUUGACAACUGAGAACUGAGUUUCGUAGCCAGAAGCUUGUCUUACAACCAACCCAGGGGAUGGGAGAAGAUUGGAUCUGUUGAGUGCUAGGUGGGACCAUUUGAGUUCAUGCUUAAUCAUUCAGCGUUCCAAACUAUGUUAUGUUCAGUAUGGGGUAACCUUUUUGGCAGUGUUUGGAGGCGUUGGUUUGGCCAUUUUUCUUGUAGGGGGUUGUGAUGGAAUGGGGGACUGCUGUACGAUCACUAUUGUUUUGGCUCUUUCUGUGUGAUCCUCUCUCAAGUAGGGGGACGGAAAAUUUGACUGCAACGUUGGACGCCGGAUGGUGCCACCCUUCUGACUGCGAAUUAAGUUGCCUUUGGGUUGGUGGAUCCAGGGGAUUAGUGAGUGGGUCAUAUAGACCUAAACCUGGCCAUGCCAUCAUUAUUUGCACAGCAACUCUCUUUGUGGCAGCUUCUCUUCCUUUUGUUCUUUUUAUUAGUUUGCCCUUUUAAGUAUGUUUUUGAUUCUCAGUUUUCCUACCAUUGUGCCAAUAUGGUAAAUCCUUUUUGCCGAAGCAUUUCAAUGCCUUUUCAGGAGUGUUCUACAUGGCGUUCAAGAGAUGGAUUUAGUGAAACUAUCUGACCACGGUGGAACUUUCCCACGUCUUUGUGACUGAAUUGCCAUUGGGUGUAGACUUCAGAGUCGUCUGUGCUUCCUGGUGCUGGUGGAUGGGAGUAGUCCAAAGAGAAGGCUUGUUUUACGGGCCUUUUGUUUUAGGUUCAUGCGUGAAUGUACUUGGCUUUGUCCUUUGUUAAGGUUUGCGCUGUGAUGUAUUCUAGAGUUCUUGCAUAUCGUGGAACUUCAACAAUACAAAUUGUCUGAACAUGAUUCUUGCUAUUGCCUUUUUAUUUUCCUAUUUCC
This 908-nucleotide unclassified non-coding RNA is filed under the name Hevea brasiliensis (rubber tree). The record is from RNAcentral. Lineage: Eukaryota; Viridiplantae; Streptophyta; Magnoliopsida; Malpighiales; Euphorbiaceae.